This 492-nucleotide ribosomal RNA is filed under the name uncultured bacterium. RNAcentral describes it as "partial 16S ribosomal RNA". It matches the Rfam family "Bacterial small subunit ribosomal RNA", at positions 29 to 507 of the family's 1533-position model. The record is from RNAcentral.
AGUGAACGCUGGCGGUAGGCCUAACACAUGCAAGUCGAACGGCAGCACAGUAAGAGCUUGCUCUUACGGGUGGCGAGUGGCGGACGGGUGAGGAAUACAUCGGAAUCUACUUUUUCGUGGGGGAUAACGUAGGGAAACUUACGCUAAUACCGCAUACGACCUACGGGUGAGAGCAGGGGAUCUUCGGACCUUGCGCGAUUGAAUGAGCCGAUGUCGGAUUAGCUAGUUGGCGGGGUAAAGGCCCACCAAGGCGACGAUCCGUAGCUGGUCUGAGAGGAUGAUCAGCCACACUGGGACUGAGACACGGUCCAGACUCCUACGGGAGGCAGCAGUGGGGAAUAUUGGACAAUGGGCGCAAGCCUGAUCCAGCCAUACCGCGUGGGUGAAGAAGGCCUUCGGGUUGUAAAGCCCUUUUGUUGGGAAAGAAAAGCAGCAGGUUAAUACCCCGCUGUUCUGACGGUACCCAAAGAAUAAGCACCGGCUAACUUCGUG